UGGGGAAUAUUGCACAAUGGGGGAAACCCUGAUGCAGCGACGCCGCGUGAAGGAUGAAGUAUUUCGGUAUGUAAACUUCUAUCAGCAGUGAAGAAAAUGACGGUACCUGACUAAGAAGCCCCGGCUAACUACGUGCCAGCAGCCGCGGUAAUACGUAGGGGGCAAGCGUUAUCCGGAUUUACUGGGUGUAAAGGGAGCGUAGACGGUAUGGCAAGUCUGAUGUGAAAGGCCAGGGCUCAACCCUGGGACUGCAUUGGAAACUGUCGAACUAGAGUGUCGGAGAGGCAAGUGGAAUUCCUAGUGUAGCGGUGAAAUGCGUAGAUAUUAGGAGGAACACCAGUGGCGAAGGCGGCUUGCUGGACGAUGACUGACGUUGAGGCUCGAAAGCGUGGGGAGCAAACA
This 402-nucleotide ribosomal RNA is filed under the name uncultured Dorea sp. Its description in RNAcentral is "bacterial SSU rRNA". It matches the Rfam family "Bacterial small subunit ribosomal RNA", at positions 355 to 774 of the family's 1533-position model. Lineage: Bacteria; Bacillati; Bacillota; Clostridia; Lachnospirales; Lachnospiraceae. The record is from RNAcentral.